Molecule: ribosomal RNA, 495 nt
Filed under: uncultured bacterium
Lineage: Bacteria
Description: partial 16S ribosomal RNA
Rfam family: Bacterial small subunit ribosomal RNA
Source: RNAcentral
GACGAACGCUGGCGGCGUGCCUAAUACAUGCAAGUAGAACGCUGAAGGAGGAGCUUGCUUCUCUGGAUGAGUUGCGAACGGGUGAGUAACGCGUAGGUAACCUGCCUGGUAGCGGGGGAUAACUAUUGGAAACGAUAGCUAAUACCGCAUAAGAGUAGAUGUUGCAUGACAUUUGCUUAAAAGGUGCGAUUGCAUCACUACCAGAUGGACCUGCGUUGUAUUAGCUAGUUGGUGGGGUAACGGCUCACCAAGGCGACGAUACAUAGCCGACCUGAGAGGGUGAUCGGCCACACUGGGACUGAGACACGGCCCAGACUCCUACGGGAGGCAGCAGUAGGGAAUCUUCGGCAAUGGACGGAAGUCUGACCGAGCAACGCCGCGUGAGUGAAGAAGGUUUUCGGAUCGUAAAGCUCUGUUGUAAGAGAAGAACGAGUGUGAGAGUGGAAAGUUCACACUGUGACGGUAUCUUACCAGAAAGGGACGGCUAACUACGUG